RNAcentral lists this ribosomal RNA (1350 nucleotides) under Brevibacterium sp. RNAcentral describes it as "bacterial SSU rRNA". It matches the Rfam family "Bacterial small subunit ribosomal RNA", at positions 81 to 1440 of the family's 1533-position model. The record is from RNAcentral. Lineage: Bacteria; Bacillati; Actinomycetota; Actinomycetes; Micrococcales; Brevibacteriaceae.
UGCUGGGCGGAUUAGUGGCGAACGGGUGAGUAACACGUGAGUAACCUGCCCUUGACUCUGGGAUAAGCCCGGGAAACUGGGUCUAAUACCGGAUAGGAGCGCCUGUCGCAUGACGGGUGCUGGAAAGAUCUUUCGGUCAUGGAUGGACUCGCGGCCUAUCAGCUUGUUGGUGAGGUAACGGCUCACCAAGGCGACGACGGGUAGCCGGCCUGAGAGGGUGACCGGCCACACUGGGACUGAGACACGGCCCAGACUCCUACGGGAGGCAGCAGUGGGGAAUAUUGCACAAUGGGCGAAAGCCUGAUGCAGCGACGCCGCGUGAGGGAUGACGGCCUUCGGGUUGUAAACUUCUUUCAGCAGGGAAGAAGCGAAAGUGACGGUACCUGCAGAAGAAGCACCGGCUAACUACGUGCCAGCAGCCGCGGUAAUACGUAGGGUGCGAGCGUUAUCCGGAAUUAUUGGGCGUAAAGAGCUCGUAGGCGGUUUGUCACGUCUGUCGUGAAAGUCCGGGGCUUAACCCCGGAUCUGCGGUGGGUACGGGCAGACUAGAGUGCAGUAGGGGAGACUGGAAUUCCUGGUGUAGCGGUGGAAUGCGCAGAUAUCAGGAGGAACACCGAUGGCGAAGGCAGGUCUCUGGGCUGUAACUGACGCUGAGGAGCGAAAGCAUGGGGAGCGAACAGGAUUAGAUACCCUGGUAGUCCAUGCCGUAAACGUUGGGCACUAGGUGUGGGGACCAUUCCACGGUUUCCGCGCCGCAGCUAACGCAUUAAGUGCCCCGCCUGGGGGAGUACGGCCGCAAGGCUAAAACUCAAAGGAAUUGACGGGGGGCCCGCACAAGCGGCGGAGCAUGCGGAUUAAUUCGAUGCAACGCGAAGAACCUUACCAAGGCUUGACAUGUUUUCGACCGCCGUGGAGACACGGUUUCCCCUUUGGGGCGGAUUCACAGGUGGUGCAUGGUUGUCGUCAGCUCGUGUCGUGAGAUGUUGGGUUAAGUCCCGCAACGAGCGCAACCCUCGUUCCAUGUUGCCAGCACGUAAUGGUGGGGACUCAUGGGAGACUGCCGGGGUCAACUCGGAGGAAGGUGAGGACGACGUCAAAUCAUCAUGCCCCUUAUGUCUUGGGCUUCACGCAUGCUACAAUGGCCGGUACAAUGGGUUGCGAUACUGUGAGGUGGAGCUAAUCCCAAAAAGCCGGUCUCAGUUCGGAUUGGGGUCUGCAACUCGACCCCAUGAAGUCGGAGUCGCUAGUAAUCGCAGAUCAGCAACGCUGCGGUGAAUACGUUCCCGGGCCUUGUACACACCGCCCGUCAAGUCACGAAAGUCGGUAACACCCGAAGCCGGUGGCCUAACC